Molecule: unclassified non-coding RNA, 268 nt
Filed under: uncultured fungus
Lineage: Eukaryota; Fungi
Description: partial contains 5.8S ribosomal RNA, internal transcribed spacer 2, and large subunit ribosomal RNA
Source: RNAcentral
AACGCACAUUGCGCCCCUUGGUAUUCCUAGGGGCAUGCCUGUUCGAGCGUCAUAGUCCAUCCCUCAAGCCCUCUGGCUUGGUGUUGGGUGCUCGCCCGCGUCCGCGGGCGCACCUCAAAUUCGUAGGCGGCAGUCUGCCCGGCUUCAAGCGUAGUAAAGACUUGUUCUCUCGCUUUGGAAGUGCCAGUGGCCUGCCUGCCCCAAAACGCGCAAGCAACUUUUUCUAAUGGAUGACCUCGGAUCAGGUAGGGAUACCCGCUGAACUUAA